Molecule: ribosomal RNA, 465 nt
Filed under: uncultured bacterium
Lineage: Bacteria
Description: partial 16S ribosomal RNA
Rfam family: Bacterial small subunit ribosomal RNA
Source: RNAcentral
CUACGGGAUGAUGUAGUGAGGAAUAUUGCGCAAUGGGGGAAACCCUGACGCAGCGACGCCGCGUGGAUGAGGAAGGCCUUCUCGCCCUAAAAUCCUGUCAGGUGGGAAUCCUUUCCUCUCUCUUAAUACUCUAUUUCUUUGACGGUACCACCAAAUUACUCACCGGCUAACUCCGUGCCAGCAGCCGCGGUAAUACGGAGGGUGCAAACGUUGUUCGGAAUUACUGGGCGUAAAGCGCGCGUAGGCGGUUUGUUAAGUCAGAUGUGAAAGUCCAUGGCUCAACUAUGGAAGUGCAUUUGAAACUGGCAGACUUGAGUACUGGAGGGGGUGAUGGAAUUCCCGGUGUAGAGGUGAAAUUCGUAGAUAUCGGGAGGAAUACCGGUGGCGAAGGCGAUCACCUGGCCAGAUACUGACGCUGAGGUGCGAAAGCGUGGGGAGCAAACAGGAUUAGAUACCCUCGUAGUC